GUACACGCUGUGACUAGCAUAUCAAUAAGCGGAGGAAAAGAAACUAACAAGGAUUCCCCUAGUAACGGCGAGUGAAGCGGGAAGAGCUCAAAUUUGAAAUCUUAAAGGGUUUCCCUUUACGAAUUGUAGUUUAAAGAAGUGUUUUCUGUUGAGGUUUUGGUAAAAGUUCUUUGGAAUAGGACAUCAUAGAGGGUGAGAAUCCCGUAUUUGACCUUUACUUUCAACUUUGUGAUACACUUUCAAAGAGUCGGAUUGUUUGGGAAUGCAGUCCAAAAUGGGUGGUAAAUUUCAUCUAAAGCUAAAUAUUGGCGAGAGACCGAUAGCGAACAAGUACCGUGAGGGAAAGAUGAAAAGAACUUUGAAAAGAGAGUUAAACAGUACGUGAAAUUGUCAAAAGGGAAGCGUUUGACACCAGUGUUGUUUUUCUGAAAAUCAAUUAAAGAACUGUUUAUGCUAAGUUGUUUAGACUUUAGUCAGCUAUCUGUUUAGUUUUGAGCUUUUCUUUAAUGCACUUUUCAGUUAACAAGUCAACAUCAAUUUCUUUUGCUGUAAAAAAGCUUGAGGAAGGUGGCUUGAGAUUCGUCUUAAGUGUUUAUAGCCUCUUGCCUAUGCAGUCGGAGAGAUUGAGGUCUGCAGCGUAGAUCCUUCGGGGCUAAAUGCAUUUGUGCUAAGUUAUAGCAUUUUAUAGACAACUUGUUGACUAUGAUUUGUCUUGUAGCUUACUCGCUUAUGUUAUUUUACCUACGCUUAGGAUGUUGACUGAUAUGUAGUCGU
RNAcentral lists this ribosomal RNA (774 nucleotides) under uncultured Neocallimastigales. Its description in RNAcentral is "partial large subunit ribosomal RNA". It matches the Rfam family "Eukaryotic large subunit ribosomal RNA", at positions 22 to 643 of the family's 3401-position model. The record is from RNAcentral. Lineage: Eukaryota; Fungi; Neocallimastigomycota; Neocallimastigomycetes; Neocallimastigales.